Molecule: ribosomal RNA, 808 nt
Filed under: uncultured bacterium
Lineage: Bacteria
Description: bacterial SSU rRNA
Rfam family: Bacterial small subunit ribosomal RNA
Source: RNAcentral
AGAGUUUGAUCAUGGCUCAGAACGAACACUGGCGGCGUGGAUUAGGCAUGCAAGUCGAACGGGCAAGCUCCCUUCGGGGAGUGAGUAUAGUGGCGAACGGGUGAGUAACGCGUGGGAAACCUACCCUUCAGUGGGGGAUAACAGGCCUAACGGCCUGCUAAUACCGCAUGUGUUCCCGGAAUCGCAUGGUUCCGGGAAGAAAAGUGGCCUCUCCUUGGAAGCUGCUGCUGAAGGAUGGUCCCGCGUCCCAUUAGCUUGUUGGUGGGUUAAUGGCCUACCAAGGCGACGAUGGGUAGCCGGCCUGAGAGGGUGUCCGGCCACACUGGGACUGAGAUACGGCCCAGACUCCUACCGGAGGCAGCAGUCGAGAAGCUUCGGCAAUGGGCGAAAGCCUGACCGAGCGACGCCGCGUGAGCGAUUGAAGGCCCUAUGGGUUGUAAAGCUCUGUCAGAUUGGGAAGCCAACUUCAGGGCGAAUACCCCUGAAGCUUGACGGUACCAUCAGAGGAAGCACCGGCUAACUCCGUGCCAGCAGCCGCGGUAAUACGGAGGGUGCAAGCGUGGUUCGGAUUCACUGGGUAUAAAGGGUGCGCAGGCGGCUUGGUAAGUCAAGGGUGAAAUAUGACGGCUCAACCGUCAAACGGCCUCUGAAACUGCCUUGCUUGAGUCCGGGAGAGGAAGGUGGAAUUCCUGGUGUAGCGGUGGAAUGCGUAAAUAUCAGGAGGAACACCGGUGGCGAAGGCGGCCUUCUGGCCCGGUACUGACGCUCAUGCACGAAAGCUAGGGGAGCGAACAGGAUUAGAUACCCU